AUUGAACGCUGGCGGAAUGCUUUACACAUGCAAGUCGAACGGCAGCACGGGUGCUUGCACCUGGUGGCGAGUGGCGAACGGGUGAGUAACAUAUCGGAACGUACCCAGUAAUGGGGGAUAACCAACCGAAAGGUUAGCUAAUACCGCAUACGCCCUGAGGGGGAAAGCGGGGGAUCGAAAGACCUCGCGUUAUUGGAGCGGCCGAUAUCUGAUUAGCUAGUUGGUGAGGUAAAGGCUCACCAAGGCGACGAGCAGUAGCAGGUCUGAGAGGAUGAUCUGCCACACUGGAACUGAGACGCGGUCCAGACUCCUACGGGAGGCAGCAGUGGGGAAUUUUGGACAAUGGGGAAACCCAGAUCCAGCCAUUCCGCGUGAGUGAAGAAGGCCUUCGGGUUGUAAAGCUCUUUCGGCAGGGAAGAAACGGUUCUGGAUAAUACCCGGAGCUAAUGACGGUACCUGAAGAAGAAGCACCGGCUAACUACGUGCCAGCCGCCGCGGUAA
Molecule: ribosomal RNA, 501 nt
Filed under: uncultured bacterium
Lineage: Bacteria
Description: partial 16S ribosomal RNA
Rfam family: Bacterial small subunit ribosomal RNA
Source: RNAcentral